UUUAACAUGAGAGUUUGAUCCUGGCUCAGGAUGAACGCUGGCGGCGUGCUUAACACAUGCAAGUCGAACGAAGCGAUUUGGCGGAAGUUUUCGGAUGGAAGCUAAAUUGACUGAGUGGCGGACGGGUGAGUAACGCGUGGGUAACCUGCCUCACACUG
Molecule: ribosomal RNA, 158 nt
Filed under: Clostridium sp. OM04-7
Lineage: Bacteria; Bacillati; Bacillota; Clostridia; Eubacteriales; Clostridiaceae
Description: partial 16S ribosomal RNA
Rfam family: Bacterial small subunit ribosomal RNA
Source: RNAcentral